This 251-nucleotide ribosomal RNA is filed under the name uncultured prokaryote. Its description in RNAcentral is "partial 16S ribosomal RNA". It matches the Rfam family "Bacterial small subunit ribosomal RNA", at positions 524 to 774 of the family's 1533-position model. The record is from RNAcentral.
UACGGAGGAUGCAAGCGUUAUCCGGAUUUCUUGGGUUUAAAGGGUGCGCAGGUUGUUUGAUAAGUCAGUGGUGAAAGUCUGUCGCUUAACGGUAGGAUUGCCAUUGAUACUGUUGGACUUGAAUAUGGAUGAGGUAGGCGGAAUGUGUAGUGUAGCGGUGAAAUGCAUAGAUAUUACACAGAACACCGAUUGCGAAGGCAGCUUACUAAUCCAUCAUUGACGCUGAGGCACGAAAGCGUGGGGAUCAAACA